Molecule: transfer RNA, 74 nt
Filed under: Patescibacteria group bacterium
Lineage: Bacteria
Description: tRNA-Gly
Rfam family: tRNA
About the family: Transfer RNA (tRNA) molecules are approximately 80 nucleotides in length. Their secondary structure includes four short double-helical elements and three loops (D, anti-codon, and T loops).
Source: RNAcentral
GCGGGUAUGGUUUAGUGGUAGAAUGCGACCUUCCCAAGGUUGAGACGCGGUUUCGAUUACCGCUACCCGCACAA